CCAGUUUUUAUCUUCUUUGGCAAUACCUCCCCCUCCAAUCACUGCCCUAUCAGCAUCUUAAAAGAUUUGUGUUUCAACCACUAUAAUGACUUCUUCACCUUCUGCUCUACUCCUCCAUCGAAAAUGCAAAAUCUGUUACCUAUUUUCUGUUCAGCUUCCUCAACAUCUCCAUGGUAUUUGAUUCACAGGAUUCCCUUAUGCCUCUUUGAAACUCCCGCCCUAUGGAAUAGUCUCCCUUACUCCUCUCCCCUCUCUUAAUAUUCCUUCACAGGUUCUCCCUUCUUGACAGGUCUCCUCGAUGAUGGUAUUCCCCAGAGUUCCUGUCGUCUUCUCGCCCCUCUACACAGGCGCGCACGCGCACGCGCGCACACACACACACACACACACACUCCUGGUAAUCUCAUCUCAUGUCCCAUGGCUUUGACUACUGUCUUUUUGUUUUUUUGUUGUUUUUGAGAUAGGGUCUCACUCUGUUGCCCAGGCUGGAGUGCAGUGGCGCAAUCUUGGCUCACUGCAGCCCCAGCUUCUGCCUCCUGGGCUCAAGCAAUCCUCUCACCUCUGCCUCCUGAGUAGCUGGGACUACAGGCACACCCCACUACACCUGGCUAAUUUUUUUGUAUUUUUUUGUAGAGACAAGGUUUCGCCAUGGCCCAGACUGGUUUUGAACUCCUGGGCUCAAGCGAUCCCUCCCCCUCGGCCUCCCAAAGUGCUGGGAUUACAGGCAUGAGCCACCGCGCCCGGCCUAAUUUUUUAAUUUUUUCUAGAGAUGGGGUCUCGUUAUGUUGACCAGGCUGGUCUUGAACACCUGACCUGAAGUGAUCCUCUUGCCUCAGCCUCCCAUAGUGCUGCGAUCACAGGUGUAAGUCACUGAGUUUGGCCAUUAUUCCAUUUCUGUACACAAAAACCUUUCUCAUUCUGUGCUAUAACUAGUUAGCAUUUAAUUGGGUGGAUGUGGUAUAACUAGUGCCUUGUUGAUAUUGAUGCAUAUUUACAUGGUUUUGCUGUUAUAAACAAUGGUCCCUUGCUAUUAUAAAUCACACUGCUAUAAGUAACCUUGCAUCUAAAUUACUUCAAAUGUGUAACUAUAUGGGUAGGAUAAUUUCUAGAAGUGGAAUUGUGAACCAAAGUUUUAGGUGCAUUUGUAAUUUUGAUUUAUAACCAAUCUUUUCACUGAUCUACUUCUCUGCCUCUAAUUUCUACUAGGUGUUUGUUUGUUUGUUUGUUUGUUUUGAGACAGGGUCUUGCUCUGUCACCCAGGCUGGAGGACAGUGGUGCAAUCACGGCUCACUGCAGCCUCAACCUGCCACCUCAGCCUCCUGAAUAGUUGGGGUGUGUGGCAGGUGUAUACCACCACUUCCAGGUUUUUUUGUUGUUGUUGUUUAAUAGAGAUGAGGUCUUGCUAUAUUGCCCAGGCAGGUCUCACACUACUGAGCGCAAGCGAUCCUCCUGCCUAUGCCUCCCAAAGUGCUGGGAUUACAGGUGUGAGUUGCCAUGCCUGGCCCGGUUAUCUUUCUAAAGCAUAAAGCAACCCUGUUGAUCCUCUGCUUAAUUUUGAUGAUUAAGUAGUAUGUUCAAAAUAUAGAAAUCCAUGUAUUGAUAAUGAUCUUUUAAAAAAAGUAAAAGCCAAAAUAUCAGCUACUCAUCCUACACCAUUGAAAGUAGUGACCAUUAAACUGCUCUACCUCUACCUCCACCUCUCUACCUCUCUACCUCUCUACCUCUACCUCUACCCACGGUCUCCCUCUCUUUCCAUGGUCUCCCUCUCAUGUGGAGCCGAAGCUGGACUGUACUGCUGCCAUCUCGGCUCACUGCAACCUCCCUGCCUGAUUCUCCUGCCUCAGCCUGCCGAGUGCCUGCGAUUGCAGGCACGCGCUGCCACGCCUGACUGGUUUUGGUGGAGACGGGGUUUCGCUGUGUUGGCCGGGCCGGUCUCCAGCCCCUAACCGCGAGUGAUCCGCCAGCCUCGGCCUCCCGAGGUGCCGGGAUUGCAGACGGAGUCUCGUUCACUCAGUGCUCAAUGGUGCCCAGGCUGGAGUGCAGUGGCGUGAUCUCGGCUCGCUACAACCUACACCUCCCAGCCGCCUGCCUUGGCCUCCCAAAGUGCCGAGAUUGCAGCCUCUGCCCAGCCGCCACCCCGUCUGGGAAGUGAGGAGUGUCUCUGCCUGGCCGCCCAUCGUCUGGGAUGUGAGGAGCCCCUCUGCCUGGCUGCCCAGUCUGGAAAGUGAGGAGCGUCUCCGCCCGGCCGCCAUCCCAUCUAGGAAGUGAGGAGUGCCUCUUCCCAGCCGCCAUCACAUCUAGGAAGUGAGGAGCGUCUCUGCCCGGCCGCCCAUCGUCUGAGAUGUGGGGAGCGCCUCUGCCCCGCCGCCCCAUCUGGGAUGUGAGGAGCGCCUCUGCCCGGCCGCGACCCCGUCUGGGAGGUGAGGAGCGUCUCUGCCCGGCCGCCCCGUCUGAGAAGUGAGGAGCCACCCCAUCUGGGAAGUGAGGAGCAUCUCCGCCCGGCAGCCACCCCGUCCGGGAGGGAGGUGGGGGGUCAGCCCCCCGCCCGGCCAGCCGCCCCGUCCGGGAGGGAGGUGGGGGGGUCAGCCCCCUGCCCGGCCAGCCGCCCCGUCCGGGAGGUGAGGGGCGCCUCUGCCCGGCCGCCCCUACUGGGAAGUGAGGAGCCCCUCUGCCCGGCCACCACCCCGUCUGGGAGGUGUGCCCAACAGCUCAUUGAGAACGGGCCAGGAUGACAAUGGCGGCUUUGUGGAAUAGAAAGGCGGGAAAGGUGGGGAAAAGAUUGAGAAAUCGGAUGGUUGCCGUGUCUCUGUAGAAAGAAGUAGACAUGGGAGACUUUUCAUUUUGUUCUGCACUAAGAAAAAUUCUUCUGCCUUGGGAUCCUGUUGAUCUGUGACCUUACCCCCAACCCUGUGCUCUCUGAAACAUGUGCUGUGUCCACUCAGGGUUAAAUGGAUUAAGGGCGGUGCAAGAUGUGCUUUGUUAAACAGAUGCUUGAAGGCAGCAUGCUCGUUAAGAGUCAUCACCAAUCCCUAAUCUCAAGUAAUCAGGGACACAAACACUGCGGAAGGCCGCAGGGUCCUCUGCCUAGGAAAACCAGAGACCUUUGUUCACUUGUUUAUCUGCUGACCUUCCCUCCACUGUUGUCCCAUGACCCUGCCAAAUCCCCCUCUGUGAGAAACACCCAAGAAUUAGCAAUA
Molecule: long non-coding RNA, 3194 nt
Filed under: Homo sapiens (human)
Lineage: Eukaryota; Metazoa; Chordata; Mammalia; Primates; Hominidae
Description: HSALNT0301275
Source: RNAcentral